Molecule: ribosomal RNA, 899 nt
Filed under: Salmonella enterica
Lineage: Bacteria; Pseudomonadati; Pseudomonadota; Gammaproteobacteria; Enterobacterales; Enterobacteriaceae
Description: partial 23S ribosomal RNA
Rfam family: Bacterial large subunit ribosomal RNA
Source: RNAcentral
CAUGUGUGUUAGUGGAAGCGUCUGGAAAGGCGCGCGAUACAGGGUGACAGCCCCGUACACAAAAGCGCAUGUGCUGUGAGCUCGAUGAGUAGGGCGGGACACGUGGUAUCCUGUCUGAAUAUGGGGGGACCAUCCUCCAAGGCUAAAUACUCCUGACUGACCGAUAGUGAACCAGUACCGUGAGGGAAAGGCGAAAAGAACCCCGGCGAGGGGAGUGAAAAAGAACCUGAAACCGUGUACGUACAAGCAGUGGGAGCACAGGUUUACCUGUGUGACUGCGUACCUUUUGUAUAAUGGGUCAGCGACUUAUAUUCUGUAGCAAGGUUAACCGAAUAGGGGAGCCGGAGGGAAACCGAGUCUUAAUUGGGCGUUAAGUUGCAGGGUAUAGACCCGAAACCCGGUGAUCUAGCCAUGGGCAGGUUGAAGGUUGGGUAACACUAACUGGAGGACCGAACCGACUAAUGUUGAAAAAUUAGCGGAUGACCUGUGGCUGGGGGUGAAAGGCCAAUCAAACCGGGAGAUAGCUGGUUCUCCCCGAAAGCUAUUUAGGUAGCGCCUCGUGAAUUCAUCUCCGGGGGUAGAGCACUGUUUCGGCUAGGGGGCCAUCCCGGCUUACCAACCCGAUGCAAACUGCGAAUACCGGAGAAUGUUAUCACGGGAGACACACGGCGGGUGCUAACGUCCGUCGUGAAGAGGGAAACAACCCAGACCGCCAGCUAAGGUCCCAAAGUCAUGGUUAAGUGGGAAACGAUGUGGGAAGGCCCAGACAGCCAGGAUGUUGGCUUAGAAGCAGCCAUCAUUUAAAGAAAGCGUAAUAGCUCACUGGUCGAGUCGGCCUGCGCGGAAGAUGUAACGGGGCUAAACCAUGCACCGAAGCUGCGGCAGCGACGCUUAUGCGU